UUCGCAAUGCCCGAAAGGGUGACGAAGCAACGCCGCGUGGGUGAGGAAGGCCCUCGGGUUGUAAAGCCCUGUCAGGAGUUAAGAAAUGUAAGUGCGCUAAUAUCGCAUUUAUUUAACGAAGGCUCCAAAGGAAGUCACGGCUAACUCUGUGCCAGCAGCCGCGGUAAUACAGAGGUGGCAAGCGUUGUUCGGAAUUAUUGGGCGUAAAGAGCACGUAGGUGGGUUUGUAAGUCAGAUGUGAAAGCCUUCUGUUCAACGGAAGAAUUGCAUCUGAAACUGCGAGUCUUGAGUGUAGGAGGGGAGAAUGGAACUUCUGGUGGAGCGGUGAAAUGCGUAGAUAUCAGAAGGAACGCCGGCGGCGAAAGCGAUUCUCUGGCCUAUUACUGACACUCAGUGUGCGAAAGCUAGGGGAGCAAACGGGAUUAGAUACCCCGGUAGUCCUAGCCGUAAACGAUGGGCACUAAGUAGAGGGGUUUU
Molecule: ribosomal RNA, 477 nt
Filed under: uncultured bacterium
Lineage: Bacteria
Description: bacterial SSU rRNA
Rfam family: Bacterial small subunit ribosomal RNA
Source: RNAcentral